This 549-nucleotide ribosomal RNA is filed under the name Coprinopsis cinerea. RNAcentral describes it as "eukaryotic LSU rRNA". The stretch from base 165 to 318 matches the Rfam family "5.8S ribosomal RNA". The record is from RNAcentral. Lineage: Eukaryota; Fungi; Basidiomycota; Agaricomycetes; Agaricales; Psathyrellaceae.
ACUGUAGGCCUGGAUACCUCUCGUCGCAAGGCGGAUGCGUGGCUUGCUGUCGCUUUCGAAAGAAGGCCGGCUUGCCAUAAAUUUCCAGGUCUAUGAUUUCUUACACACCCCAAACUGAAUGUUAUGGAAUGUCAUCUCAAGGCCUUGUGCCUAUAAACCUAUACAACUUUCAGCAACGGAUCUCUUGGCUCUCGCAUCGAUGAAGAACGCAGCGAAAUGCGAUAAGUAAUGUGAAUUGCAGAAUUCAGUGAAUCAUCGAAUCUUUGAACGCACCUUGCGCUCCUUGGUAUUCCGAGGAGCAUGCCUGUUUGAGUGUCAUUAAAUUCUCAACCUCACCAACUUUGUUGUGUGCAGGCUUGGAUGUGGGGGUUGCAGGUCCACUCUCGUGGUCUGCUCCUCUGAAAUGUAUUAGUGGGUUGUGCCCCUAAUCUAUUGGUGUGAUAAUUAUCUACGCCGUGGAUUGGGUUGGUUACUUGAAGACCUGCUUCUAACCGUCCCUUGGACAACUUUUGACAAUUUUGACCUCAAAUCAGGCAAGACUACCCGCUG